Wyeomyia smithii (pitcher-plant mosquito) is the source of this 1426-nucleotide long non-coding RNA. RefSeq lists it as uncharacterized. The transcript is spliced from 8 exons. The record is from RefSeq and is a predicted model, not a curated record. NCBI's taxonomy places the organism in Eukaryota, Metazoa, Arthropoda, Insecta, Diptera, Culicidae.
GCACGUAGUAAACAUAAAUUCAUUGGUGGCAACAGCAGGCAUGUUUCAGCUAUAUGAUAGGAAUGAAAUUAUCCUGCAAAACAUACGCAAAUCUUGUUACAGACGAAGCACUAUGGCAGUUGAACGAUGACGAUUUGAAGGAAAUUGGCAUUUUCGAAAAAGGACCGAGAAAAAUUAUACUGGCUUUUAUAUCAAAACAUUUCCAAUCAAAUGAUGAAACGGAGCGCAAUGAACACAUUCCACAAACUUUUCAAAAUCAAAAGAUACACCAGGUUUUAUCCGAGGAACCAAAAUUUUUGAAGAUAUUACAAGGAAAAUUGGAAUACGGGUUGAUACCGGAAACAAAAUAAAUACCCGUCGUGGCAACAGAAAAAAAAUCUGGCUAUAAAAAUCAUUGAAGAGUUUCCUCAAUUGGAAAAGACUAGGAUAAGCCCGGAUUCCCCUAAAAAGUCGUUCUUCUUUUGGCGACAUAGUGGCAAAGAACACGGGUGCCACAGUGGGAUCAUCGAAACAAGAGUAGGAAACAUGCGGAAAGAUAUAUUACCGGAAAAUCCGGCGGAACGUUUGUUCCGGCGCGUGCGUCCAAAGGAGAUUAUUGUACCGGAGACAUCCAACGAGACAGCAGCACUACUUGCAGCUCUUUCUGCAACUGCUCAAAACGCCAAAUAUAUUUCGGAUAGUAUGGCCGAAUGUACAGAACUCCAUCAAUGGAUACUAAAUAAAAAAUCGAAAAACAAUACUCAAGAGAUACUCGAAGUCUUUCCUCAUUUACUCAACUAUAACGGACUAUUGAUUCAACAAGCGUAUGAGAGAAUACACACUUCGUACAACACAACUGCGGAUCUGAAAUCAUUCCUCAGUCUUGCUGUGCUGCUCGAUGAAAAUUGUUAGCUCAGCGUGGAAGAUUCUAACCUAAAAGGUUUACUGAUAUUUCAAAAAAAAACUUGGAAACCGCGGAGUUAAGCGAGUGGCUGACACGAACGAACAGCUUUCAAUGGAGGAACUGCUAGUAUGGCCUUUAAUCCGGUGGAUGAAGAGCAACGGCGACCCAGAAAACGUACAAGUCGACAUCUAUAAAAGUAACAAAACAGAUCCACAUAUUUUAUGUAUCGGCGAAAAGCUGUCUCGGGGAAAUAUGUAUUUGAUAUUCUAUUCAUACUCCAUAUCUUGUGGAAAUUCAUCGUUACAGGCGAUAGAGGUUUUUUUCAAAUCGUUUUCCGUUUUGGGAAUACCCAUACCGCUUCAAUUAAAGAAAAUUCACGAUUUCCUGUCCAUUAAAUUAUGGAAAACGUUAAGUUCGACAAACAGUGUGACAGUUCAAAGGUUAAUUUCAAAAAUUAUCGACUACGAGCAAAGCCUUGAAGAUUGACUGCAUUUCACUUUAAUAUUUAAUCAUUGAAAUAAAUUCAAUUAUCUUAUCUGCGAA